UGGCUCAGGAUGAACGCUAGCUACAGGCUUAACACAUGCAAGUCGAGGGGCAGCAUGGUCUUAGCUUGCUAAGGCCGAUGGCGACCGGCGCACGGGUGAGUAACACGUAUCCAACCUGCCGUCUACUCUUGGACAGCCUUCUGAAAGGAAGAUUAAUACAAGAUGGCAUCAUGAGUUCACAUGUUCACAUGAUUAAAGGUAUUCCGGUAGACGAUGGGGAUGCGUUCCAUUAGAUAGUAGGCGGGGUAACGGCCCACCUAGUCUUCGAUGGAUAGGGGUUCUGAGAGGAAGGUCCCCCACAUUGGAACUGAGACACGGUCCAAACUCCUACGGGAGGCAGCAGUGAGGAAUAUUGGUCAAUGGGCGAGAGCCUGAACCAGCCAAGUAGCGUGAAGGAUGACUGCCCUAUGGGUUGUAAACUUCUUUUAUAAAGGAAUAAAGUCGGGUAUGCAUACCCGUUUGCAUGUACUUUAUGAAUAAGGAUCGGCUAACUCCGUGCCAGCAGCCGCGGUAAUACGGAGGAUCCGAGCGUUAUCCGGAUUUAUUGGGUUUAAAGGGAGCGUAGAUGGAUGUUUAAGUCAGUUGUGAAAGUUUGCGGCUCAACCGUAAAAUUGCAGUUGAUACUGGAUAUCUUGAGUGCAGUUGAGGCAGGCGGAAUUCGUGGUGUAGCGGUGAAAUGCUUAGAUAUCACGAAGAACUCCGAUUGCGAAGGCAGCCUGCUAAGCUGCAACUGACAUUGAGGCUCGAAAGUGUGGGUAUCAAACAGGAUUAGAUACCCUGGUAGUCCACACGGUAAACGAUGAAUACUCGCUGUUUGCGAUAUACAGCAAGCGGCCAAGCGAAAGCGUUAAGUAUUCCACCUGGGGAGUACGCCGGCAACGGUGAAACUCAAAGGAAUUGACGGGGGCCCGCACAAGCGGAGGAACAUGUGGUUUAAUUCGAUGAUACGCGAGGAACCUUACCCGGGCUUAAAUUGCAGAUGAAUUACGGUGAAAGCCGUAAGCCGCAAGGCAUCUGUGAAGGUGCUGCAUGGUUGUCGUCAGCUCGUGCCGUGAGGUGUCGGCUUAAGUGCCAUAACGAGCGCAACCCUUGUUGUCAGUUACUAACAGGUUCUGCUGAGGACUCUGACAAGACUGCCAUCGUAAGAUGUGAGGAAGGUGGGGAUGACGUCAAAUCAGCACGGCCCUUACGUCCGGGGCUACACACGUGUUACAAUGGGGGGUACAGAGGGCCGCUACCACGCGAGUGGAUGCAA
RNAcentral lists this ribosomal RNA (1255 nucleotides) under uncultured bacterium. Its description in RNAcentral is "bacterial SSU rRNA". It matches the Rfam family "Bacterial small subunit ribosomal RNA", at positions 20 to 1270 of the family's 1533-position model. The record is from RNAcentral.